AGAUGGGCCACUACUAAUUUUUGCUAUCGUAGUAUUCUCGUUUUCUGCUACAAAAUCAAUGUGACAAAUUGAAGAAUUCAACAAAACUUCGACAACAGUUAACGAACGAUUUGCUAUCUGUUAACAAAUAAUUUAAAAGCCAGACACUUUGCGAGACAAAUCAAAACGAUUGUAGUUUGCACACUGAGAAACAAGCAAACGAAAAUCGAAAGAGGGACUCACGAUUCCGGAAGAGAGACGUCAUUUUCUAGAAGCACGUGUAGUCCAGUAAGCAGUGACCAACUGGCAAGGGAAAUGUAAGGAUAUCUGAUGAGGUGGGAUGAUGUGAACAUGAUCUGCUUUAUCAUCUAUCGACUUAAGACGAACGGAUGCGCGCCUUCACACAUGAAAAACUUUUACAUACGGGAAGUAGCACAGUGGUCUGCUCAGCUGUUGCCUGGCUCGCCAGACGAUAUGGCAUCAUAUUGAAUCGUUAUAGUAUACCGGCACGGUUGUGAACCAGAGAAUGUUGAAGGCUAGUAAUUGGAACUAUAGUGUGAUCACAUUGAACGAGAUGCAUCUUGAGAACGAAUUCUUCGUUACCUUUUCUGCUGUACCCUCAUUUGCAUCCGAUGAUACUUCCGGCGCGGGAAUCCCGCUCUGCAGUACUACCCGAAUUCCGACGUGUGUUAGUUUCCAUAUUGAUCGGGAGAUGAUAUAUUCAUUUUUGGCGUACAUUCCACUCAAUCAAAUCGUGGAAAAUUAUUUUAUUCAGAC
Molecule: long non-coding RNA, 756 nt
Organism: Daphnia carinata
Lineage: Eukaryota; Metazoa; Arthropoda; Branchiopoda; Diplostraca; Daphniidae
Exons: 3
Source: RefSeq, a predicted model, not a curated record